Molecule: ribosomal RNA, 722 nt
Filed under: uncultured Fusobacterium sp.
Lineage: Bacteria; Fusobacteriati; Fusobacteriota; Fusobacteriia; Fusobacteriales; Fusobacteriaceae
Description: bacterial SSU rRNA
Rfam family: Bacterial small subunit ribosomal RNA
Source: RNAcentral
GAUGAACGCUGACAGAAUGCUUAACACAUGCAAGUCUACUUGAACUUCGGUUUGGGUGGCGGACGGGUGAGUAACGCGUAAAGAACUUGCCUCACAGUUAGGGACAACAUUUGGAAACGAAUGCUAAUACUUGAUAUUAUGAUUUUAGGGCAUCCUAAGAUUAUGAAAGCUAUAUGCGCUGUGAGAGAGCUUUGCGUCCCAUUAGCUAGUUGGAGAGGUAACGGCUCACCAAGGCGAUGAUGGGUAGCCGGCCUGAGAGGGUGAACGGCCACAAGGGGACUGAGACACGGCCCUUACUCCUACGGGAGGCAGCAGUGGGGAAUAUUGGACAAUGGACCAAAAGUCUGAUCCAGCAAUUCUGUGUGCACGAUGACGUUUUUCGGAAUGUAAAGUGCUUUCAGUUGGGAAGAAAAAAAUGACGGUACCAACAGAAGAAGUGACGGCUAAAUACGUGCCAGCAGCCGCGGUAAUACGUAUGUCACAAGCGUUAUCCGGAUUUAUUGGGCGUAAAGUGCGUCUAGGUGGUUAUGUAAGUCUGAUGUGAAAAUGCAGGGCUCAACUCUGUAUUGCGUUGGAAACUGCAUGACUAGAGUACCGGAGAGGUAAGCGGAACUACAAGUGUAGAGGUGAAAUUCGUAGAUAUUUGUAGGAAUGCCGAUGGGGAAGCCAGCUUACUGGACAGAUACUGACGCUAAAGCGCGAAAGCGUGGGUAGCAAACAGG